Molecule: long non-coding RNA, 383 nt
Organism: Hermetia illucens (black soldier fly)
Lineage: Eukaryota; Metazoa; Arthropoda; Insecta; Diptera; Stratiomyidae
Exons: 2
Source: RefSeq, a predicted model, not a curated record
UUGACCUCAAUUUCAAGAUCAAGACGAUAUUCGUACUCGUAAAAGUUUUCAUACUGAAAUUGCAUUGGAAAUGUUUUAUUUCUGAUGUGGUUAUCGCCCGAUAAAAGACCUCCAGUUUGACGAGCAUUCCCAUGCUCUUUCAUCCGAACCUGGUGGAUAUCAGAUAUCUAUGAAUCGCCCAAGAAACCCAUGGAUUGAGAGCGCUUUAUAGCUUAACUCGAAAUUUGAAGAAGAUACCGCAAUAUGCCGAAUAGCAUUUUUUCUUGCAAGGUUAUAAGAAGUGCAAAAUGUCGACUCAUUAUUGAAAGUGCAGUAAACACUAAAGAAGUAGUUUCAUAUAAUGUGUAAUUGAAGCUUUUUUCAUAAAUGGAUUUUGGCACAUA